GUAUUCGCUUUGRCAGUACAUAUAUUAAAACUGGAACAAGAAGAUUAGCAUGGCCCCUGUGUAUUCAUGGAUUUAAACAAUCAUGACUUGAAAAUAUUUUUU
Molecule: small nuclear RNA, 102 nt
Organism: Anolis sagrei ordinatus
Lineage: Eukaryota; Metazoa; Chordata; Lepidosauria; Squamata; Anolidae
Source: RefSeq, a predicted model, not a curated record